GAUGGGCACUUCCUUCAUAGAAAUUUCCAACUUCUCCCCACCUGAAGAAACACUGCCAAAACUGACUGACUCGGUCUUCACAAUUGGUGACUGUUUCAAUGAAAAAAGAGUCCAACUCAGACUCGUCAGGCUUUUGAACAGUGUUUUUAGAUGACUUGCAGUCUAAUGGUUUUCGACCACUCUCCUUACAUCUCCUACGGGGCUUUGUUGAAGAUGCAAAGGGACUAGAUUGUGAGGAUGGUGAGGUAUGUAAUGGAUCUGUACCAAGCAAAGGUGGCUGAUGAAAAAGAAGAAAGAGCAGCAAACAAAGUGCAAGAGCAAAAGGACAAAAGAAAAUUGUAAUUAGUUAAUUUCCUCUGUAUAUAGAAAGUUAAUUACAUAAGCUU
Long non-coding RNA from Lacerta agilis (Sand lizard), 386 nucleotides. RefSeq lists it as uncharacterized. Lineage: Eukaryota; Metazoa; Chordata; Lepidosauria; Squamata; Lacertidae. The record is from RefSeq and is a predicted model, not a curated record. The transcript has 2 exons.